UGCCAAUGUCCGUAAAGUUUAUGAACAGAAUCGAUGACAAAGGGCAGCCUUGGCGGAGUCCAACCCUCACUGGAAACGAUUCUGACUUACUGCCGGUAAUGUGAACCAAAUUCUGACAUCUGUGGUGGAGGGACCAAAGUGCCCGCAUCAGGGGAUUCGGUACCUCAUACUCCUGAAGCAAUCAUAUAAUGUAAUAUCGUACUCAAAUGUGUAAUGCAUAGAUUUUUAUUCUGGGUGAGGGAAUUUUCGUUUGACAGAAGUCCAUAGAUGGCAAUACUUACUGUAAUUAUGUUUCAUUGAACAAUUAUAAUAUUUAAGUCUGGUUUAAAAAAUAUGAACAGGUAUAUACAUUUGUGUUAUUACAGUUGCUGAAACAUAUAGAUGUUGCUUGAAAUUUAUCAUGCUCCCCUCAAAACAGACCGCAGAGUAAAAUAAAAGUUAAAGGCUGAGCAAUUUUAGUUUAUCGUUGGCCAUGAAGGGGGGAGGGGCUGUUCCCAGCUCCAAACCCUCGCAGUUGCACUGUUUGAACCUAGUUUAUUCAGCUCCCCUCCCCCACACUAGUUUGAGCACGUGAUCAAUUAGGAGCGCGGUUCAUACAGCAGCAACAAAGCUUUGCAAGAAGAGUUGAGUGUUGCAGUCGUGUCCCCAGAAAAUCUAAUUCGUUUUAUUCUGCUUUGGACAUUGAAACUGUAUAAUACGAAUUGCAUCCAAUAAGUAAAUAAUAAUGAUGUUUCAUCACAAUUCCAUAUUAGCAUUUGGGAAUAAUGUUGCUUUCAGAACAAUUACAAUAUUUUAAGUCGUUUUUAAAAUAUGUGUGUGUGUGUGUAUACUGUAUAUAUAUACAGUAUGUAUAUACACACACAUGUAUAUAUGCUGUGCUCAUUUUAGGAGUACAUGACAUUGGUGUAAACAAGAGUUCAUAAAAUAUGUUGAUAUUGCUUGACAUUUACUAUGCCCCACUUCAAAACGGACCUCAGAGGAAAAGUGAAGGAGUUUUGGUUAUGAAGGGGCGGGGCUGUUUUCACACCCCAAAACGUCACAGUUACGUUGCAGGAAACGAGUUUCUACAGCUACCCUCCCCCACAUCACACUCGCUGACCAUCAAUUAGGAAACGCGCGCUUUGCUACCUGCACAAAAGGAAGGCGUUGAGAAGAGUGAGCGUACGAGUCAGCAUCAUCGAGAAAACCCCAGAAAGUGACAAAUACUUCAGAAUUAAAGCAGAUGGACAAUCCCACUGAAGAUGGUGAUUAUUCUGACUCAAGUCUUUUUGGAUCAGAUGAGGAAUACAAACCAACUAAGACAUCCUCUGAGUCGAGUGAUGACGAGGAGAUAUUCCAUCCAAAGGUAGAAAAAUUGUUCUUAUGAUACAUCCAGUGAAGACUCUACAAGUCAUCAGACAUAUGAAGCAGAGGAGCACAGUCAUGUCUGCAAUUCGUAAAGAAGCCCCAAAAAGGGAAAAGCAUCUCUCCAAAAGAGGGAAGACUGAAUUGGAUGAUUCGAGUCCAGGCGGGGACCCUGGCGGUCCGAUCCUUGGCUGCAGAAGCUAGCUCUUGGGACAUGGAAUGUCACCUCUCUGGCAGGGAAGGAGCCCGAGCUGGUGUGUGAGGCAGAGAAUUUCCGACUGGAUAUAGUCGGACUUGCCUCCACACACAGCCUGGGUUCUGGUACCAGUUCUCUCGAGAGGGGUUGGACUCUCUUCCACUCUGGAGUUGCUCACGGUGAGAGGCGCAGAGCAGGUGUGGGCAUACUCAUUGCCCCCCGGCUCAGUGCCUGUACAUUGGGGUUCACACCGGUAGACGAGAGGGUUGCCUCCCUCCGCCUUCGGGUGGGUGGACGGGUCCUGACUGUUGUUUGUGCAUAUGCACCAAACAGCAGCUCAGCAUACCCACCCUUUUUGGAGUCCUUGGAGGGUGUGCUGGAGAGUACUCCUGCUGGGGACUCCAUUGUUCUGCUGGGGGACUUCAAUGCUCACGUGGGCAAUGACAGUGAUACCUGGAGGGGCGUUAUUGGGAGGAACGGCCCCCCCGAUCAAAACCCGAGUGGUGUUUUGUUAUUGGACUUCUGUGCUCGUCACGGAUUGUCCAUAACGAACACCUUGUUCAAACAUAAGGGUUUCCAUAUGUGCACUUGGCACCAGGACACCCUAGGCCGCAGUUCGAUGAUCGACUUUGUAGUUGUAUCAUCGGAUUUGCGGCCGCAUGUUCUGGACACUCGGGUGAAGAGAGGGGCGGAGCUGUCAACUGAUCACCACCUGGUGGUGAGUAGGCUCCGAUGGUGGGGGAAGAUGCCGGUCCGUCCUGGCAGACCCAAACGUAUAGUGAGGGUUUGUUGGGAGCGUCUGGCGGAAUCCCCUGUCAGAAGGAGUUUCAACUCCCACCUCCGACAGAGCUUUUCCCAUGUUCCGGGGGAGACGGGGGACAUUGAGUCCGAGUGGACCAUGUUCCGUGCCUCUAUUGUUGAGGCGGCCAAUCUGAGUUGUGGCCGUAAGGUGGUUGGUGCCUGUCGUGGCGGCAAUCCCCGUACUCGCUGGUGGACACCAGCAGUAAGGGAUGCCGUCAAGCUGAAGAAGGAGUCCUAUCGAGCCUUUAUGGCCUGUGGGACCCCAGAGGCAGCUGACGGGUAUCGACUGGCCAAGCGGACCGCGGCUUCGGUGGUCGCCGAGGCAAAAACCCGAGCGUGGGAAGAGUUCGGUGAGGCCAUGGAAGCGGACUUCCGGACGGCUUCGAGGAAAUUCUGGUCCACCAUCCAACGUCUC
This is a long non-coding RNA of Hippocampus zosterae (dwarf seahorse), 2756 nucleotides long. RefSeq lists it as uncharacterized. The transcript is spliced from 4 exons. The record is from RefSeq and is a predicted model, not a curated record. NCBI's taxonomy places the organism in Eukaryota, Metazoa, Chordata, Actinopteri, Syngnathiformes, Syngnathidae.